AUGACGUCACCGACGACGAGAGGUGUUUGUUCUGGAUCCUGGGAAAGAAAGAUCCCGCGCACCUUGACAACCGAAUAAACGAGGUGUACCCCCCUUUUCCUCGUCAGCAGUGUGCUCUGUGAACUAUUAGCUGGGCCUUGGCCAGCGUCUCUAAGGGGACUCUUCUCUGGAUCGGGUAACGGGCCGGCCCACGCGGCAGCUCCCUUUGCUGAAUGAGGCCGGAGAGGAGAUGCACUCUCGUAUAAGGAUCUCCACACAGAGAUACACAUCGAGACUAUUCAAGCCAUCUACUCACUGAUGUUUGAAGAUUAUGAGCGAUUGGCAAAGGCAAUCAACAUCGCUCUCAUCAGUCGAAAGAGAGUUGAAGAAACUUGGGCCCAUGUGAACCUUCAUCAGGUGAACAGCAACAUGUCGGCUAAAGCAAUUUAAUUCAUGAAUGCAUUUGAACGUUUUUAAUAUUGUGAUAGUGAAGUGCAAAAGAAUCCUAACAUUUCCAAAUAAAAAAUCUGAUUUUGAUUUAUCAAGACCAGUCCCCAUGUGCUUUCAUUCAGCAGUAAUAGUAUUCAUAAUAAUCGUCAUCAUCAUCAUUGGAUAACAGUCUCAGAACUUAUUAAGAGGUAACCUUCUAUUAUCAAUAUAAUCAUUCAUUCAGAAGGUUAAACUCAUAGGUUUUAGGCCUGCGGUAGGUUAUAAUAAACAAACAAAUUGCCUGUCAAUUCAUAAACCAUGUGCCGUUGAAUCGGUACAUCGAAAAUCUCUUCCCAACUAUUUUGCAAUCUAUAUGGUCCAGCUGUCAAUUUUUUUGGUCCUUAAAUAAAACUGUUAUAUAUUUAUAUUUUUCACAAUUGUCUUUAACCAAUUUUGGUCUUUUAAUGCACGGCCGGCCGACAGACAAGUUCCUUACUUAAAUUGAAACCAACUUUCUAUUGCUUGUUUUUCUUUUUUUUAUAACGUGGUUUUGGAGAUUUUGUUUUCAAAAUAACCGAAAGUGAUCGCUUGUAAUCUGAAUAAAGGGAAAAAAGCCAUUCUUGAACAUGGGUUGAGACAUUCAUGCUAAUUUGUAAUAAAGCGUGUUUGUAAUUGAGUGUUUUAAUUUCAGUUUUUAGAGGGAGAGAAACAAAAAGCCCACUGUGCCUAUUUUUCGAAAAUCGUUAGUCCACAUGUGAAGUGAAAUUCCCCAUUGUAUUUCCCAAGUUCUAAAAUAACCAGCGACAGUUUUUUGUUGUUGUUGCCUAAUGCAGGACUCUAGUGCCAGAGAAGAGACUGUCAGACUGAAACGCCUCCAUUAAUUUACGAGUAGAUUGUCAAUUUGUGCCACAGUUUAGAUUACAGAUAGAACGCUGAUCUAACUCCCCCUUGUGAUAGUGUGGUGCAAUGACAGAAUGCUACCAUCUACCACUAACGGUCGCAGCAUAAACUCGUAACUUUUAGAGGAAGAACCGCUAUGUUUGAACGUUGUCUCAUGCCGAAUUUCUCCCCUGUGUGAGUUGAUCAGUUUGUUGUGGGAGAUGAAUAUCCACGGUCUCCCAUAGGAUACCCCCCCCCCCAGCCAACGGCGCAGUCUCUGACCAAUUUUUUUUUGAGGCCUUACUAUUGGCUGCAGAGACAAAAUGUUCUAUCUUGCUCCUCUGCACCCCAGUAUCUCUACUUGCACAUUCAUCUUCUGCACAUCUAUCACUCCAGUGUUUAAUUGGUAUAUUGUAAUUACUUUGCCACUAUGGCCUAUUUAUUGCCUUACCCCCCCCCCCCCUUAUCCUACCUCAU
Oncorhynchus masou masou (cherry salmon) is the source of this 1764-nucleotide long non-coding RNA. RefSeq lists it as uncharacterized. NCBI's taxonomy places the organism in Eukaryota, Metazoa, Chordata, Actinopteri, Salmoniformes, Salmonidae. The transcript is spliced from 3 exons. The record is from RefSeq and is a predicted model, not a curated record.